GCGUAGGCCUGGGCCCGGGUGGAACGCUGCCUGCCUUCAGUGUAGGGACUGCACGCAGGCACUGCAACCCAGCGGACCGGGCCUGCCCAACUGAGGAGGGUAACUUAUAUAUGUAUUGAAUUGUAUUUGCCAUUUUUAUACUGGACAUGAAUCGACAUUUUAAACUGUUUCCAAACACUUAUUAAAUAAAGCUGUGUUAUGUUUUUGGAA
Gymnodraco acuticeps is the source of this 210-nucleotide long non-coding RNA. RefSeq lists it as uncharacterized. The record is from RefSeq and is a predicted model, not a curated record. The transcript has 2 exons. Lineage: Eukaryota; Metazoa; Chordata; Actinopteri; Perciformes; Bathydraconidae.